GACCUUAUUCACAUUAUUAGUGUCAUGUUUCUGGCCCGUCUGCCUGCUAUGUUUUUCUCCUCAGUACUCCUCUCAUCAAGCUCAUCUGGUUCACCUGCAUGCUGCUGCGCUGGAGCACAAUCAGGCUCAUGUCUUCCACCUGUUCACCAGCAGUUAUAUUCAGCUCUCAGGCAGGCAGACGGUGCCAGAUUUUUGAAAGCCUCAGAGUGAUUAGAUAUCCAGCAUUUCUUCCUGACCUGACCACGAUCUCGAACACAUUUUUGUCCCUUGGAUUUUCCUGCCUUGUCUUGCCCACGUCGGAUUCUUCACUGGCUUCUGUUUUCUGGUCUCGACCCCGUUUCUGCCUUUUGACCUCUGCCUCCUGCCUCGCCCUUGGAUUUUGUCUGCCUGAUAUUGCCUGCAAGUGUUGGACCCUUUUUCCGUGCCCUGACCACUGCUCUUCGCCUGACCCUCAGAGAAGUUUUGCUUUGUCCUGCCCAACACAAAGAAGAGGUUCCUGUUCCAUUGCUCGUGGCUGCCUGUCCCAUACCCUGAUCCUCAAAGAACUUWAAUUUUUACGUUGUGUCUGACUGAAAUUUCGGGUCCUCAGUUCUGAGCAUUACAGUUAGGAGUUAAUUCUCAUUGUUUUGACUUUAUUCUGUAAGACUUCUCGUAAUGUUACGACUUUAUUACCGCAUUAUCAUGUUUGAUAAUACAAUAACCUUGUAUUAUAAUUAUUCAUAAUAGGAGAAUUAUCAUACAUACAACAUCAAAGUUAUAAUACAACUUUAUUCUCAUAUUUUGCAUUAUGUUUGAUAAUUUGACAAUUCUUGGAUUCUCGCUAAUAACAUGAGAAUUAGCAAAUAAUAGUAAAAUAAAGUUGUAGUGUUAUAACUAUUGUCAUAUUAUCAUAUGUGAUGCGAAAAUCUUAUUACAUAUGAGAAUUAGCAAAUAAUGCCAACAAAGUCAUAAUAUUACGACUUUAUUCUAGUAAUAUGACUUCUCAAAAAUAUUUUGACUUUAUUCACAUAUUGUUACGUGUUUAUUCACGUAUUGUUUUGACUUUAUUCUGUACAACUUCUCCUAAUGUUACAACUUUAUCGUAUCAACAUAUUUGAUAAUAUUAGAAUUAUCAAAUACUAUUAUGACUUUGUUCUCAUUCAAGUUUAGUCUUGUAAUAUUAUGACUUUAGUCUCGUAAUUUAA
Molecule: non-coding RNA, 1184 nt
Organism: Poecilia reticulata (guppy)
Lineage: Eukaryota; Metazoa; Chordata; Actinopteri; Cyprinodontiformes; Poeciliidae
Source: RefSeq, a predicted model, not a curated record